AGGGAUGCAAGGUUGAUUUGAUAUUCAAAAAACAAUCCAUCAGUUUAUAACAUACCCAGUAGGAAUCUAGGGUCACUGUGAUGAGGAGCACAGAACUGUGGCCUCCCUAUAAACAAAUACCCUACAUGU
Small nucleolar RNA from Otolemur garnettii (small-eared galago), 129 nucleotides. The record is from Ensembl. NCBI's taxonomy places the organism in Eukaryota, Metazoa, Chordata, Mammalia, Primates, Galagidae.